This 576-nucleotide ribosomal RNA is filed under the name Yamadazyma atlantica. RNAcentral's name for it is "eukaryotic LSU rRNA". It matches the Rfam family "Eukaryotic large subunit ribosomal RNA", at positions 37 to 668 of the family's 3401-position model. Lineage: Eukaryota; Fungi; Ascomycota; Pichiomycetes; Serinales; Debaryomycetaceae. The record is from RNAcentral.
UGCAUAUCCAAAAAGCGGAGGAAAAGAAACCAACAGGGAUUGCCUUAGUAGCGGCGAGUGAAGCGGCAAUAGCUCAAAUUUGAAAUCUGGCGCCUUCGGUGUCCGAGUUGUAAUUUGAAGAAGGUAUCUUUGGUUUUGGCUCUUGUCUAUGUUUCUUGGAACAGGACGUCAUAGAGGGUGAGAAUCCCGUCUGAUGAGAUGCCCAAUUCCAUGUAAAGUUCCUUCGACGAGUCGAGUUGUUUGGGAAUGCAGCUCUAAGUGGGUGGUAAAUUCCAUCUAAAGCUAAAUAUUGGCGAGAGACCGAUAGCGAACAAGUACUGUGAAGGAAAGAUGAAAAGAACUUUGAAAAGAGAGUGAAAAAGUACGUGAAAUUGUUGAAAGGGAAGGGUUUAAGGUCAGACUUGGUUUACCAGGCCAGCAUCGGUUUAGAUGGCAGGAUAAUGGCGUAGGAAUGUGGCUUUGCUUCGGUAAAGUGUUAUAGCCUGCGUUGAUACUGCCUAUUUAGACCGAGGACUGCGUCUUUGACAAGGAUGCUGGCAUAAUGGCCUUAAGCCACCCGUCUUGAACCACGGACCA